This is a long non-coding RNA of Sinocyclocheilus grahami, 512 nucleotides long. RefSeq lists it as uncharacterized. NCBI's taxonomy places the organism in Eukaryota, Metazoa, Chordata, Actinopteri, Cypriniformes, Cyprinidae. The record is from RefSeq and is a predicted model, not a curated record. The transcript is spliced from 4 exons.
CAGAGCGCGCGCGCAGAUGCACCGAGUCUCGCGCGCGCCAUUUUAGCGCGUCUCCGGCAAGAUGGCGCUCUCGCUUUGUCUGCCCUGAUCGGCAUAAAACACUAUUUACUCUCAUUACACGCAUGCAAAUGUACCGGAUCGAAUGAAAAAACAGCUUUCCUCGCGGUGCCAAGCCGGUGACAUCUCAAAGACCCGCGCGUGCGCUGAGCACGGAGAUCUUAAGGUCUAGUAAGUUGAAUACAUUGGUGACCAAACUUCAUGAGUUUUUGGGUCCUUCUCCAGACGAAGAAAGCAUUCAUUCUCCAGAUAUUUCCAAUGGUAAAAUGGCUGCUAGUGACUUAAACAGCCCUGAUGAGAGAAUGAAUGAGUUUGUUGGACUGGUGCUUCAAAAGCUUCUUCAGGAAGUUUAUAAAAGACAAGGAGAUUAAAUUGAUACCCAGCACGUCCAUUUUAUUCCAUAACCUGAAAGCUUAUCACACCGAUAAUUAUCAUUUCUAUAUUUGGGUUAAAAU